This 246-nucleotide long non-coding RNA is filed under the name Physcomitrium patens. RNAcentral describes it as "long non-coding RNA (PPAT_LNC013078)". The record is from RNAcentral. Lineage: Eukaryota; Viridiplantae; Streptophyta; Bryopsida; Funariales; Funariaceae.
AUGAUUCAAAGAGUGACAAUAGGUACGAAUUUGACACCUUAACUUUGAACACCUAUAUAUCCUUCACAAAAACUCGAAAUCACACAAAAUCUUCAUCCAAAUUAUAUCCAAAACCUUGAACUUAUUGGCUCUAGCCUCCAAAGCUCAAAUGACUUCGAAAGAGAAACCCUAAUUCCUAAUAAGGCCUUAGGCAGCCUCCUUGAAGCCCAUUGGAUAUUACCUUCGACCAAUAGGAAUGAAGUUUUU